RNAcentral lists this ribosomal RNA (251 nucleotides) under uncultured prokaryote. RNAcentral describes it as "partial 16S rRNA". It matches the Rfam family "Bacterial small subunit ribosomal RNA", at positions 525 to 775 of the family's 1533-position model. The record is from RNAcentral.
ACGUAGGGAGCGAGCGUUGUACGGAAUUACUGGGCGUAAAGGGCGCGUAGGCGGGGAUUUAAGUCAGAUGUGAAAACUCCGGGAUCAACCUGGAGACUGCAUUUGAAACUGAGUAUCUUGAGGGCUGGAGAGGAAAUUGGAAUUCCUAGUGUAGCAGUGAAAUGCGUAGAUAUGAGGAGGAACACCUGUGGCGAAGGCGUCUUCCUGGACUGUACCUGACGCUGAGGCGCGAAAGCGUGGGGAGCGAACGG